Oncorhynchus masou masou (cherry salmon) is the source of this 2868-nucleotide long non-coding RNA. RefSeq lists it as uncharacterized. The transcript has 2 exons. Lineage: Eukaryota; Metazoa; Chordata; Actinopteri; Salmoniformes; Salmonidae. The record is from RefSeq and is a predicted model, not a curated record.
AGAUACUCAUUGUUGUUACGUGUGUUGGUAUUGUAGCAUAGAUACUCAUUGUUGUUACGUGUGUUGGUGCCCUUGACCUCUGUGUACAUAACGCCUCAGUAAAGUGUGACAGGAUGAAAUCUCAGAAGGUCCGUAGGAGACCCGAGUCCUGCCACGCCUAUCACCCUCAGGAAAAUGCCAAGGAGUGUGGAGAUGCAUCGCAGAUCUACCUGUCUGUCUCUCUCUUCAUCACCUGUCUCACUGCCUCCUUCACCUGUCUCACAGCCUCCACGCUGGUUUUCCGAUGACAGACAGACAGCUACCUAGCCUAAACCCCGCCCCCUCUGGAAAUCUCUCUAGAAUGUUCCAGAAUGCCUGAUCUUAGCAUGCCUGCUGCUGCUUGCGUUAUCUUUAUCAAUCAAUAUGACUAUAUGGCUAAAAUUAUGAUAUUGAUCAUUUGGGCUGAUGGACUGAGAGGAAUAAGCUGUUGACUUCAGAUGUUUGAUGACUUUACAAUCACAGAGAGAUGUUGACUGACUCCAUGUUUGAUGACUUUACAAUCACAGAGAGAUGUUGACUGACUCCAUGUUUGAUGACUUUACAAUCACAGAGAGCUGUUGACUGACUCCAUGCUUGAUGACUUUACAAUCACAGAGAGAUGUUGACUGACUCCAUGCUUGAUGACUUUACAAUCACAGAGAGCUGUUGACUGACUCCAUGCUUGAUGACUUUACAAUCACAGAGAGCUGUUGACUGACUCCAUGCUUGAUGACUUUACAAUUACAGAGAGUAAUAGUCCUGUGUGGCUCAGUCGGUAGAGCAUGGCGCUUGCAACGCCAAGCGUCGUGGGUUUGUUUCCCACUGGGGCCACCCAUAUGUAAAAGUAGUGGCCCCAGCCGACUUGUAAGUCGCUUUGGACAAAAGCGUCUGCUAAAUGGGAUAUAUUACUUCAUGCUUGAUGACUUUCAACCACCAAAGUUGUGCUUCUUUGGACGACCGUUCUAAAACCAUGAAAGGGCUUUUUGGUUUCUUCUUCUUCUUCAGUGUCUGAUAAGAGAACAUUAUAAUGUUUCUAUGCAAAAGGAAACACACUUUAUUUGACUGUGGAAAGAUCCAGUAUCUCCAAUAUGAUUUCAAAGGACUUGACUUUGCAAUAAGACCAUGGAAGACUCAGUCUGUGGAUGAUGUGUUUUAUAAAUGGUUUUGAUAAAUAAUACUCUGGAUUCAUGCAUGUGUUGUCUGUUUACCUAAAGCCAUGAAAUGGAGGAUGAACCUUGGAUAAGGCAGAGGCAUCUUUGAACAGUGAUACAAUUCAGAUAGUAGAACCAGUGACCCCUGCUGGUUGAAAUAGGACAUUGCAGGAUGGUGAAGAAUAAACUGGAGGCUGGCUGGCUGCUGAAGGAUGAACACAAUGGACUCAACUUCCACAUUGUUCUGUUCAUAACUCAUCAGUCUUUGGUCUACGCACCACAAACACAGCAAGUAUCUACUAUUAAAUGUGGGCUGGGUUUUCACUGUUGGAAAUGAAUGGACUGUUUCAGGAAAAACCUUCAAGUCACAUGUCAUCAAUGCAAUCUAAGGCUUACUAAAUCAGUUGACUUAGUUGGCUUACUGCAACACAAGGACCAUUACUGACCACCUACUUCUGUGAUGGACUACUAGGUGGAACAGCCAUUCUGUUAGAAGGGACAACGUUACAAUGUGAUGGACUACUAGGUGGAACAGCCAUUCUGUUAGAAGGGACAACGUUACAAUGUGAUGGACUACUAGGUGAAACAGCCAUUAUGUUAGAAGGGACAACGUUACAAUGUGAUGGACUACUAGGUGAAACAGCCAUUAUGUUAGAAGGGACAACGUUACAAUGUGAUGGACUACUAGGUGAAACAGCCAUUAUGUUAGAAGGGACAACGUUACAAUGUGAUGGACUACUAGGUGAAACAGCCAUUAUGUUAGAAGGGACAACGUUACAAUGUGAUGGACUACUAGGUGGAACAGCCAUUCUGUUAGAAGGGACAACGUUACAAUGUGAUGGACUACUAGGUGGAACAGCCAUUCUGUUAGAAGGAACAACGUUACAAUGUGAUGGACUGCUAGGUGGAACAGCCAUUCUGUUAGAAGGAACAACGUUACAAUGUGAUGGACUACUAGGUGGAACAGCCAUUCUGUUAGAAGGAACAACGUUACAAUGUGAUGGACUACUAGGUGGAACAGCCAUUCUGUUAGAAGGAACAACAUUACAAUGUGUUGAUAUCGGGAUCUCCAAGGUGUCUUUCAUCUGAGUUUUACUGUUUGACUCCAAAGACUUUUAUGAUGGUUUAUAGUUUUCAGCUAAAUUCAUGCAUUCAAUUAUUAUAUUUUUCAUGGCAUAAUCUGUUCUUUCUAAUUCAAAUGACUUGAAUGAAAUGAGUAUAAAAUGCAUCAUUGAGAAUAAUAGGAUGGGAUCCUACUAGUAUUGCUGCUGGACAUUCAACACCACUGUCAGAUGUUACUGUCCAGUGAUUUUCUAAGUGGUGUUUUUUACCAGUCUGUCCCUUUCACUUUGACAGUGAUGCUCUAAUGAUGUCAUAGCAUCAUGUGGAAACGGUCCUCAUGAUGCAGUAUUGUUGAUAAAAGAUGCUGUUGCCCAUGUCUAUGUAUGUAAUGUGAUGUCCUGAGUCCUGUGUGUCUUCUGUGUGUCUGGCUUGGCUUGUGUCCCACAUGGUACCCUUUAACCCUAUGUAGUGCACUACUUUUGACCAGGGCCCAUAGGGAAUAGGGGACCAUUUGGAACACAGCCUGAGAGUCUAGGGGGCAAUAUGAUUCUCACAGCACAGUUUGAUUGACAUGUAGGAUAAUCUGCAAUGGAUCAAUAAUAAUACAAUGAAUAAACUUCCCCUUUAUUUUAAAGCA